UGCAGUCGAGCGAUGGAUUAAGAGCUUGCUCUUAUGAAGUUAGCGGCGGACGGGUGAGUAACACGUGGGUAACCUACCCAUAAGACUGGGAUAACUCCGGGAAACCGGGGCUAAUACCGGAUAAUAUUUUGAACUGCAUAGUUCGAAAUUGAAAGGCGGCUUCGGCUGUCACUUAUGGAUGGACCCGCGUCGCAUUAGCUAGUUGGUGAGGUAACGGCUCACCAAGGCGACGAUGCGUAGCCGACCUGAGAGGGUGAUCGGCCACACUGGGACUGAGACACGGCCCAGACUCCUACGGGAGGCAGCAGUAGGGAAUCUUCCGCAAUGGACGAAAGUCUGACGGAGCAACGCCGCGUGAGUGAUGAAGGCUUUCGGGUCGUAAAACUCUGUUGUUAGGGAAGAACAAGUGCUAGUUGAAUAAGCUGGCACCUUGACGGUACCUAACCAGAAAGCCACGGCUAACUACGUGCCAGCAGCCGCGGUAAUACGUAGGUGGCAAGCGUUAUCCGGAAUUAUUGGGCGUAAAGCGCGCGCAGGUGGUUUCUUAAGUCUGAUGUGAAAGCCCACGGCUCAACCGUGGAGGGUCAUUGGAAACUGGGAGACUUGAGUGCAGAAGAGGAAAGUGGAAUUCCAUGUGUAGCGGUGAAAUGCGUAGAGAUAUGGAGGAACACCAGUGGCGAAGGCGACUUUCUGGUCUGUAACUGACACUGAGGCGCGAAAGCGUGGGGAGCA
This 732-nucleotide ribosomal RNA is filed under the name Bacillus sp. (in: firmicutes). Its description in RNAcentral is "bacterial SSU rRNA". It matches the Rfam family "Bacterial small subunit ribosomal RNA", at positions 56 to 770 of the family's 1533-position model. The record is from RNAcentral. Lineage: Bacteria; Bacillati; Bacillota; Bacilli; Caryophanales; Bacillaceae.